This 497-nucleotide ribosomal RNA is filed under the name uncultured bacterium. RNAcentral describes it as "partial 16S ribosomal RNA". It matches the Rfam family "Bacterial small subunit ribosomal RNA", at positions 28 to 507 of the family's 1533-position model. The record is from RNAcentral.
GAUGAACGCUGGCGGCGUGCCUAAUACAUGCAAGUCGAGCGAACAGAUAAGGAGCUUGCUCCUUUGACGUUAGCGGCGGACGGGUGAGUAACACGUGGGUAACCUACCUAUAAGACUGGGAUAACUUCGGGAAACCGGAGCUAAUACCGGAUAACAUUUGGAACCGCAUGGUUCUAAAGUGAAAGAUGGUUUUGCUAUCACUUAUAGAUGGACCCGCGCCGUAUUAGCUAGUUGGUAAGGUAACGGCUUACCAAGGCGACGAUACGUAGCCGACCUGAGAGGGUGAUCGGCCACACUGGAACUGAGACACGGUCCAGACUCCCACGGGAGGCAGCAGUAGGGAAUCUUCCGCAAUGGGCGAAAGCCUGACGGAGCAACGCCGCGUGAGUGAUGAAGGGUUUCGGCUCGUAAAACUCUGUUAUUAGGGAAGAACAAAUGUGUAAGUAACUGUGCACGUCUUGACGGUACCUAAUCAGAAAGCCACGGCUAACUACGUG